This is a long non-coding RNA of Triticum aestivum (bread wheat), 1017 nucleotides long. RefSeq lists it as uncharacterized. The transcript is spliced from 3 exons. The record is from RefSeq and is a predicted model, not a curated record. Lineage: Eukaryota; Viridiplantae; Streptophyta; Magnoliopsida; Poales; Poaceae.
CUCCAGCUGCUAUGCUCUGCAUCUCCUUCGACUCCUCUCCUCGUCUUUCUUGCGUGACUCCUGCUCGAGUGCGGGGCGUGGAGAUGGUUGUCCGCGGCGCCGGCGCACGACGCGGAGAAGCGGCGGUGGCGUGUUGUGGCUGUACUGGGUUGGCCGGCUGAUGCCGCUCGGAUCCUGUUCGACGAGAUUGUCGGCGACGUGUUGCGGGAGCAGGAGAGUGGGGUCUAGUCCCGGCAGUUUGGGGCACGCUGCUGUUGCUCGUGCAGGAGAACGGUGGCUGCAGCGGCGCGUUCGGGGAGAGCUACGUCGACCCCAUCUUCGUUAUACACGGCAGCCGACCGAGCUCCGUGCGCCGGUUUGGUGUCCGGGAGCUGGCGGCAGGAAGUCAAGGUCAUCGACGUCGCAGUCCAUAGAUCAUCCUCCCUGUUGUGACACCCCACAGGCACUUUCCUCUUUGGUCGCCCCUCCUCACGGACGCUUCAGAACGACAUCUUAGCACGAUGUCGGUGGAGGAGAGGAUCACUAUCGUGCGCUCAGCGGCUGGAACAUGCUGAGGUCCUCAUUCGACCUUAAUUUCAAGUAGCAUUUCAUUCAUUUGGUCUGGGGCAAGUGAUGAACGCCUUGAUGCGCAAGAUCUUGAACUUACAUGCUGGCAGGAGAAUAUAUUCCUGCCAUCGACAUGGUUCAGUCUCCAUGGGUCAAACUGCGUAACGGCUUGUAGGCAACCAGAGAUGAUAAUCAAGCCUUCAUCGCACACCUUGGACUCGGCUCGAAACUGUACCUCCCAUUAAAAAUCAUGUCCUGGUAAGAUGAGAUGUAACCAAACCUAUAGGUAAUGUGAUUUUGUAAUUUUGGCGUGCCAACGGAUUUUGGUGGAUGUUGGUUGUUUUGGGCAUGUGGUUUGUGUUGUCGGAAUUUUGAGGGGUAUUUUUAGUAGAUGUUGGUUCCUGCUCAUCCAUGUUUGGCUCUUCUAAUACCUAUGCACUCAUCUUGGAAUGAUGGUUUAUGAGAGCAUGU